RNAcentral lists this ribosomal RNA (433 nucleotides) under uncultured bacterium. Its description in RNAcentral is "partial 16S ribosomal RNA". It matches the Rfam family "Bacterial small subunit ribosomal RNA", at positions 29 to 507 of the family's 1533-position model. The record is from RNAcentral.
AACGAACGCUGGCGGCAUGCCUAACACAUGCAAGUCGAACGAGACCUUCGGGUCUAGUGGCGCACGGGUGCGUAACGCGUGGGAAUCUGCCCUUGGGUUCGGAAUAACAGUUGGAAACGACUGCUAAUACCGGAUGAUGACGUAAGUCCAAAGAUUUAUCGCCCAAGGAUGAGCCCGCGUAGGAUUAGCUAGUUGGUGAGGUAAAGGCUCACCAAGGCGACGAUCCUUAGCUGGUCUGAGAGGAUGAUCAGCCACACUGGGACUGAGACACGGCCCAGACUCCUACGGGAGGCAGCAGUGGGGAAUAUCGGACAAUGGGCGAAAGCCUGAUCCAGCAAUGCCGCGUGAGUGAUGAAGGCCUUAGGGUUGUAAAGCUCUUUUACCCGGGAUGAUAAUGACAGUACCGGGAGAAUAAGCUCCGGCUAACUCCGUG